Molecule: ribosomal RNA, 501 nt
Filed under: uncultured bacterium
Lineage: Bacteria
Description: partial 16S ribosomal RNA
Rfam family: Bacterial small subunit ribosomal RNA
Source: RNAcentral
AUUGAACGCUGGCGGCAGGCUUAACACAUGCAAGUCGAGCGGGGGAAGGUAGCUUGCUACCGGACCUAGCGGCGGACGGGUGAGUAAUGCUUAGGAAUCUGCCUAUUAGUGGGGGACAACAUCUCGAAAGGGAUGCUAAUACCGCAUACGUCCUACGGGAGAAAGCAGGGGAUCUUCGGACCUUGCGCUAAUAGAUGAGCCUAUGUCGGAUUAGCUAGUUGGUGGGGUAAAGGCCUACCAAGGCGACGAUCUGUAGCGGGUCUGAGAGGAUGAUCCGCCACACUGGGACUGAGACACGGCCCAGACUCCUACGGGAGGCAGCAGUGGGGAAUAUUGGACAAUGGGGGGAACCCUGAUCCAGCCAUGCCGCGUGUGUGAAGAAGGCCUUAUGGUUGUAAAGCACUUUAAGCGAGGAGGAGGCUACUCUAGUUAAUACCUAGGGAUAGUGGACGUUACUCGCAGAAUAAGCACCGGCUAACUACGUGCCAGCAGCCGCGGUAA